AUAAUAUUUUAACCUCUUCUGGAAUACCAAGUCUAUAUUUCAAUUUAAUCUAUGAUUUAAUUGCACACCUCCGUAGUUUAUAGGCACAAAUGGCUAGAAGUAGAAUAAAAAUGAUAUUUUUUGUUCUUUUUUAUUAUAAUCCACUUUAACUUGAUUUAUUCACAAUGUUUUAGUGGUUCGCUGAGAACAGAUAUUU
Saccharomycodes ludwigii is the source of this 196-nucleotide small nucleolar RNA. NCBI's taxonomy places the organism in Eukaryota, Fungi, Ascomycota, Saccharomycetes, Saccharomycodales, Saccharomycodaceae. The record is from RefSeq and is a predicted model, not a curated record.